AGACGCGUGAACAGUAACAGUCCGGCUGGUCUUUCACAUGUCUAUUAGAACAAAGAUUGCAGGCCAGUCAGCCUGACAAUCGUGCCUACAAUGCGCGGACUGCCGCCUACGUUUCUCUUUCUUUGAUGUUUUUGUAAGCGCUCACGCACGUACGCCCUUUGGGCUGUGCUCCGCGAGGGCGCGGCACGAGCCGCGACGGCCGGUCGGCCUACUUUGGUGACCUACCGUUUAAGGACGGGCGCACGGCACGAGCUGCGACGCGUAAGCGCGCUGCAUUUGACGGUUGAACUGUCAAAUCAGGGCUUGUAGCUCAGUUGGUUAGAGCGCGCGCUUGAUAAGCGUGAGGUCGGAGGUUCAAGUCCUCCCAGGCCCACCAUAUUCCUAUACCUUUACGGGGGCGUAGCUCAGCUGGGAGAGCACCUGCUUUGCAAGCAGGGGGUCGUCGGUUCGAUCCCGUCCGCCUCCACCAAGGUUCUUGGCAGAUGGACGGAGCAAAAACAUCAUUUAAAGAACCAAGUUUGCGGCUUGUUGGAUUUAGGUCUGACGGUUGCGUGUUCUGUAUGAAAUUGUGAAGAGAAGAUAAGUUCGGAUCCUUUUGAAGGAUAGGCGAUCUUUGGUGUGCUUUUUAGCAGACUAUUGCCCGCCGUGCCGUUGCAGCUUGCUGCAUUGGCGUCAUUCAAGAAGAUGUCGCAAGGGUGCUCAUCAAAAGCCCUUGCAGAUGAUUGGCCGCUUAACCGCAGAGCCAUCGGAUUUAUCUCGAGAAGCUGGUCUUUUUUGUCAAAUCGAUUUUUUGCUGAGUGUUUGGUUGUCCAUUGGUAUCCCCCAUGGCGGCGCAAUGCUCGUGAAGGCAAGGAUGGAUAUUGGCAAUGAGAAUGAUCAAGUGUCUUAAGGGCAUUUGGUGGAUGCCUUGGCAUGCACAGGCGAUGAAGGACGUGAUACGCUGCGAUAAGCGUCGGGAGGUGCGAAUACCCUUUGAUCCGACGAUUUC
RNAcentral lists this unclassified non-coding RNA (988 nucleotides) under Phyllobacterium loti. RNAcentral describes it as "partial 16S-23S ribosomal RNA intergenic spacer". The stretch from base 875 to 988 matches the Rfam family "Bacterial large subunit ribosomal RNA", at positions 1 to 114 of the family's 2925-position model. Lineage: Bacteria; Pseudomonadati; Pseudomonadota; Alphaproteobacteria; Hyphomicrobiales; Phyllobacteriaceae. The record is from RNAcentral.